AUACGUAGGGGGCGAGCGUUGUCCGGAAUGAUUGGGCGUAAAGGGCGCGUAGGCGGCCCGGUAAGUCUGGAGUGAAAGUCCUGUUUUUAAGAUGGGAAUUGCUUUGGAUACUGUCGGGCUUGAGUGCAGGAGAGGUAAGUGGAAUUCCCAGUGUAGCGGUGAAAUGCGUAGAGAUUGGGAGGAACACCAGUGGCGAAGGCGACUUACUGGACUGUAACUGACGCUGAGGCGCGAAAGUGUUGGGAGCAAACAGGAUUAGAUACCCUGGUAGUCCACACGGUAAACGAUGAAUGCUAGGUGUAGGGGGUAUCGACCCCUUCUGUGCCGCAGUCAACACAAUAAGCAUUCCGCCUGGGGAGUAGGGCCGCAAGGUUGAAACUCAAAUGAAUUGACGGGG
This 397-nucleotide ribosomal RNA is filed under the name uncultured bacterium. RNAcentral describes it as "partial 16S ribosomal RNA". It matches the Rfam family "Bacterial small subunit ribosomal RNA", at positions 523 to 918 of the family's 1533-position model. The record is from RNAcentral.